UACAGAGGUCCCAAGCGUUAUUCGGAUUCACUGGGCGUAAAGGGUGCGCAGGCGGCCGUGUGAGUGAGGCGUGAAAGCCCGAUGCUUAACAUCGGAAUUGCACCUCAAACUACACGGCUAGAGCAUUGGAGAGGGUAGCGGAAUUCACGGUGUAGCAGUGAAAUGCGUAGAUAUCGUGAGGAACACCAGAGGCGAAGGCGGCUACCUGGACAAUUGCUGACGCUCAGGCACGAAAGCGUGGGGAGCAAAAGGG
Molecule: ribosomal RNA, 253 nt
Filed under: uncultured bacterium
Lineage: Bacteria
Description: partial 16S ribosomal RNA
Rfam family: Bacterial small subunit ribosomal RNA
Source: RNAcentral